AGUCAGCGUAGCAUCCAUUUAGCAACAAGAGACAGAAAGUUUAAUAAAGCAGAAGCAUUUUAAUAAACUCAGGUAUGAUUUAAAUAGAGGCCUCUGGCACUGGCAGCUGCUGAGUUCUUUAAGUGGAAUACAGUAUACUCAAAUUCCUUCUCUCCGAGGAGAUUGGAAAGGAAUCCUUUUUUAAAAUCUCUUUUUAAAAUCCUAAGGAAUUAAUGCAAGCUCCAGGAGAGUAGAGACUGCAUCAUUUUCUUGUAUUGUGUCCUCAGCACUUCCUACAAUGCCUGGCACAUGGAGAUCAGCUAGUAUUUAUUCUUGUGGUCUUUUUCACCCCUAAAGUGACUGAACAAGAAAUGAUCAAAAAGGAAAAGAUAAAAAAGGAUUUAAAUUAUCAAAAAGAUAUAUGAUGAAAAAGUAGGGCUAUCC
RNAcentral lists this long non-coding RNA (423 nucleotides) under Monodelphis domestica (gray short-tailed opossum). Its description in RNAcentral is "lncRNA (ENSMODG00000032006.2)". Lineage: Eukaryota; Metazoa; Chordata; Mammalia; Didelphimorphia; Didelphidae. The record is from RNAcentral.